Molecule: ribosomal RNA, 505 nt
Filed under: uncultured bacterium
Lineage: Bacteria
Description: partial 16S ribosomal RNA
Rfam family: Bacterial small subunit ribosomal RNA
Source: RNAcentral
GACGAACGCUGGCGGCGUGCCUAAUACAUGCAAGUGGGACGCAAGGACACACACUGUGCUUGCACACCGUGUUUUCUUGAGUCGCGAACGGGUGAGUAACGCGUAGGUAACCUGCCUAUUAGCGGGGGAUAACUAUUGGAAACGAUAGCUAAUACCGCAUAAUAUUAAUUAUUGCAUGAUAAUUGAUUGAAAGAUGCAAGCGCAUCACUAGUAGAUGGACCUGCGUUGUAUUAGCUAGUUGGUAAGGUAAGAGCUUACCAAGGCGACGAUACAUAGCCGACCUGAGAGGGUGAUCGGCCACACUGGGACUGAGACACGGCCCAGACUCCUACGGGAGGCAGCAGUAGGGAAUCUUCGGCAAUGGACGAAAGUCUGACCGAGCAACGCCGCGUGAGUGAAGAAGGGUUUCGGAUCGUAAAGCUCUGUUGUAAGUCAAGAACGUGUGUGAGAGUGGAAAGUUCACACAGUGACGGUAGCUUACCAGAAAGGGACGGCUAACUACGUG